GGAUGUGAGGGCGAUCUGGCUGUGACAUGUCACUCCAUUGAUUGCCAAGGUCGAUUUGGCUAAUCUGACUUGUUAGGCAGGUGUCCCCUCCUCCCUCACUGCUCCAGCUGUGCCCCUCCCGAAACUGUGGGCUCGGGCAAAGAGGACAACCUUUCCAGUAGAGGAGGACUGUUCUUCAGUCAAAGGUAUGUGAGUAGCUACACUCCCUUGCUAGAACCUCCAAACAAGCUCUCAAGGUCCAUUUGUAGGAGAAUGUAGGGUAGUCAAGCUUCCAAGACUCCAGACACAUUCAAAUGAGGCACUGUAUGUGGCAGUCUGCCUUUCCUC
Molecule: small nuclear RNA, 327 nt
Filed under: Ailuropoda melanoleuca (giant panda)
Lineage: Eukaryota; Metazoa; Chordata; Mammalia; Carnivora; Ursidae
Description: 7SK RNA
Rfam family: 7SK RNA
About the family: 7SK was discovered as an abundant small nuclear RNA in the mid-70s but a possible function has only recently been suggested. Two independent studies have found that 7SK RNA binds the CDK9/cyclin T complex (known as elongation factor P-TEFb).
Source: Rfam by way of RNAcentral